Molecule: ribosomal RNA, 441 nt
Filed under: [Candida] sp. CRUB 1719
Lineage: Eukaryota; Fungi; Ascomycota; Saccharomycetes; Saccharomycetales
Description: eukaryotic LSU rRNA
Rfam family: Eukaryotic large subunit ribosomal RNA
Source: RNAcentral
CACACAGGAAUUACCUUAGCUAACGGCGAGUGAAGCGGUAAAAGCUCAAAUUUGAAAGCUAGCACCUUUGGUGUUCGCGUUGUAAUUUCGAAGGAGGUAUCUUUGGCAGCUCUGGCCCAUUGGUCUAUGAUUCCUUGGAACAGGACGUCAUAGAGGGUGAGAAUCCCGUCUGAUGGGGUGUCCAACUCUUUGUAAAGAGCUUUCGAAGAGUCGAGUUGUUGGGAAUGCAGCUCUAAGUGGGUGGUAAAUUCCAUCUAAAGCUAAAUAUUGGCGAGAGACCGAUAGCGAACAAGUACAGUGAUGGAAACGAUGAAAAGAACUUUGAGAAGAGAGUGGAAGAAGUACGUGAAAUUGUUGAAAGGGAAGGGCAUUAGAUCAGAACUUGGGUGUCAUCGUGGAUUAUCUUCCCUUCUGUGGUAGGGUUGUGGCAACUUCGCCAUU